UUCAGUUUAGAAAAGAACAAAAGCAAAUGACUGAAUCAAACCAGUUUAAAUAACUACAUGGAAAUGGUGAAGUUGACCAAAUCUGUGGGAUCUUGCAGAGAUACAAACUGUACACUCAUUUUAAUCGACACUGUGAAAGUUUUAUAUUUACUUGGUUGUAUUUCAGAAGAACGUGAGGACUGAUUAAUAAGCUGGCCCGUCUUGAGGGUCUGGGAAUCUAAAUGGGUCAAUCUCAAUAAGUCUCCCGCUAAUGGUGAUGGAGCAGCAGGUCAGCAUUGACGUCUCUAUACCAGCUGAAAGUUGAUGACACAAAGUGGUGACAAACUGUCUACAAUGAGGCUACUAUCAGCUGCAGCUCUUUGUCUGACUAACAAUGGAACAUGCUUUGUAGACCAUUGAAUUCAUCCUGUGCUGACCAUUAUGACAUUUGUCAAAUGGAGAUCACACAACAAACAUGACUUACUUGAUGCUGACAAUGUGAAGGCUUCACUCCACUCUGUUGAAGAAUAUGAGUCAUCUCUGCGUCGACUCUUACACAUGUAGUCUCCACUGCUGGACUCAGAAACUCUGAAUGUCACAUCAUUAUUGUGUGUCCACUGUGUGGGUGU
This is a long non-coding RNA of Oreochromis niloticus (Nile tilapia), 608 nucleotides long. RefSeq lists it as uncharacterized. The transcript has 2 exons. The record is from RefSeq and is a predicted model, not a curated record. NCBI's taxonomy places the organism in Eukaryota, Metazoa, Chordata, Actinopteri, Cichliformes, Cichlidae.